RNAcentral lists this unclassified non-coding RNA (377 nucleotides) under uncultured Parachlamydiaceae bacterium. RNAcentral describes it as "contains 16S-23S intergenic spacer region". The record is from RNAcentral. Lineage: Bacteria; Pseudomonadati; Chlamydiota; Chlamydiia; Parachlamydiales; Parachlamydiaceae.
UCCCGGUUAACCCGGGCAGUCUCAUUAGAGUUCCCACCUGAUAUGUUGGCAACUAAUGAUAAGGGUUGCGCUCGUUGCGGGACUUAACCCAACACCUCACGGCACGAGCUGACGACAGCCAUGCAGCACCUGUGCACCGGCCCCGAAGGGAAAUAUCAUUUCUGAUAUCGUCCGGUGCAUGUCAAGCCUGGGUAAGGUUCUUCGCGUUGCAUCGAAUUAAACCACAUGCUCCACUGCUUGUGCGGGUCCCCGUCAAUUCUUUUGAGUUUCAGCCUUGCGACUGUACUUCCCAGGCGGUAUACUUAUCGCGUUAGCUUCGGCACAACCGGGGUUGAGUCCGGUUACACCAAGUAUACAUCGUUUACGGCAAGGACUAC